RNAcentral lists this long non-coding RNA (1385 nucleotides) under Meleagris gallopavo (turkey). RNAcentral's name for it is "lncRNA (ENSMGAG00000022902.1)". Lineage: Eukaryota; Metazoa; Chordata; Aves; Galliformes; Phasianidae. The record is from RNAcentral.
UUCUACAUCCUGUUCUCACCAAAUGGUGAGUUUCAGUAAUAAAAUUCUACAGGGAACUUCUCUUCUGCUGUAUUCUCUUGCUGUGUGUUCAUUCCUUCUCUCCCCCCACCCUACAGGUGACCUGGGCCUUUCUACACUUCCCCUUCUGACUCUUUCCAGUCAGAAAUCUGAAGGCAGCUGUCCUGCUCCAUCCAGGGCAAACAACAUGAUGGUCCUUUAAGAAAUCACUUCAAGGCUGACACCUUACUGGUCUGGACCUUCUGGAGUAAAAGAUGAGUGCAAAGUGUUUGCAAGAGACCCUGCCUCCAUACUCUCUUCUCCGUGAUGGAGAAACACAUCAGGCACGUGGGAUCCCAGAGGGCUAUUGCAGUGCAUGACUGCCCAUGAGCAAGCUGCAGGCUCAGGGAGAUGAUGAAAAGAAGAAGUCAAAUGGGUAAAUCCCAUGCCCAGCAUGUGAGAUGUGACAAAUCUGCUGCUCUGACCUGGGAGUGUCUUACACAGUCAUAAACAUCUUCAGCAGGGUGAGCUCAGUGGAGAAGCAGCCUCUCUUCUGGGAUAGCUGUUGGUGCAGGUUGGAGAUGUGAGCUAUGUAUUCCCCAUUCAUUUUCAGCUCCAUUCAUGGCACUGGAAAACACUGCUCAGCUCCUACACCUCUCUCCAGCUUUUGUCUUACAAAUUUUUCAGAUAAUGCCACACUGAAGCUUUAGGUUUUGUCUUUUUAAAAGCUGACAGAUUUAAAGACCAGUUUUCCUAAGCUCUUUGUGAAUGCUGUAAUAAAUAAACAAAAAUUGAAGUUAGUAUUAAAGGCACAAAGAUCUCUCUCCCUGCCUAUCUCAUGCUGUUUAUGUCCUUACGUCAUUGCUUUUGCUACAUGAAUAUUCAAGGAGUUUAUGGCAGCAUUCAGCAGCACCUGCAGGAUUUGGUCUGACCUCCUAUGGGACUGCCUUUGGGAUUCAGGUCUUCUUGAUCCCCUUCAUCCCUGUCUGCUGGACAUUCACUUAAAGUUUAAUUAAGAAGAGAGUGGGAGAACUAUACCAACAGAUCUGUAACACAGACCUAUAGACUUGUCACAUCUGUGAUGAGUUUCUCUGGACCACACAAGUGUCAGCACUGCCUUGGCUUUGCAGCCACCAAAAAAAAUCCCAUUGCACUGAUAUAUUUCUCACUUUGAGUCUGGCCUUGUGGAGAGAGGACCAAUUUGUCCAGCCCCAAGGCAAUUCACUGCUCAAAGCCAGGGUCACAACCACAAUUUUCAGUGUUCAUCUAAACAGUUGGGUGAAAGGUGAUAGUAUAAAUGAAACAAGCACAUAGCAGCACUGAUAGCAGGGAAAUGGGCGUUAGACAGUGGUUUGAAGGCUCAUCAACAAGCAAGGUAUAUCCUGCCC